Molecule: long non-coding RNA, 1232 nt
Organism: Myotis myotis
Lineage: Eukaryota; Metazoa; Chordata; Mammalia; Chiroptera; Vespertilionidae
Exons: 3
Source: RefSeq, a predicted model, not a curated record
GCCCCAGCAGGAGGCUUAGGGUGGAGGGGAGGGGAGGCCCUUCAGCCUGGGGUUUUAAAACCAGCUGAAGCAGGGCAACUUUCAGGACUAGUCUUGAGCAGUUUAUAUUUUAUAAAAUAGUCUUUAUAUUAUUUUUCCAUUAGAAACGAAUCAGUUUUGCAAGAUAAAAGGUUCUGGAGAUCUGUUGCAAACCAUGUGAAUAUACUAAUGCUACUGAAUUGUACACUUAACGAUGGUUAAGAUGGGACUUUUUAACCCUAAUUUUUAAAAAAAGGCUGGGGGAGUCACAACCAAGCUUCACAAAAAUUGGAAAGGCUGAAAAGUGACAAAAGACAACAUCCAAUCCCCCACAUUAGGCAAAAUAGAAAUUGAUCUAAGUGAUCAUGUGAUUUAAAAGGUAAUUGCGUGUGUGUGUGUGUGUGUGUGUGUGUGUGUGUGUGUGUAAUAGAGAAAUGUUCUGGUCCCAGACUCCAGUUGGACAUGACAUCACCCUACAGGUGUCAAAAUUGAGCUUCUCGUCUGCCCAGGUCUGCACCAACCACAUUACCAUGGCCUCAGUAAGCGCCGCCCGUGACCAGAUUGUCCAGGUGUGCCACAUUCGGGAAUCCUACCCCCUGGAUCAGAUUGUAAAUCCCUGAGGUUGGCGACCAGACUUCCUGUACGUUGUCCAUAAUACUCAGCAGAGUGCGUGCUGUGCAACUGCGCCUGGUGAGUGACUGCGAGUGAGGAAAUAGAAUGGCAGAGCAUCUGCAGGGCAGAAGGACUUCCCUCUCUGAAAGGAGGACCCAGGAUAUUGCGGUGGGAAACAAAGAGAAAGGUAAAGGGUGUUUACUUCCAAGCACUGAUGGAUGCCUGCUGUGCGCCACGCCCCUUCCAGGCUGUGUGCUUGGAUCAUGGAACAGCACCCGCCAGCUCAGGAGGGCCAGGACGAGGUGGGUCGAGACGAGACAUUUAUUGAGCAUCUUCUGUGUGGAGAGGCUGGGUGCUGGCCGGUGACGGGAUGGUGUCAAGAGAAGGCGGCUGCAUGGAAAACAGGUUUGCAGUAGCCUGAAAAAGCCAAGGGCAGCGCUGAGCUCUCACAGACUCAUUGCAGGAUACGAUGUAACCUAAUUAGCUACACCAUUGAAUUAAUGUUGUUAAUUUGAAUUUAGUGGCUUUUUUCCAGUUUGGUUUAUAUUUAUAAUGUAAAUUUUUAAAAUAGUUGUAUAGAUGCUAUCAGCAUAAAGCGUUCA